Molecule: ribosomal RNA, 452 nt
Filed under: uncultured bacterium
Lineage: Bacteria
Description: bacterial SSU rRNA
Rfam family: Bacterial small subunit ribosomal RNA
Source: RNAcentral
GAUGAACGCUGGCGGCGUGCCUAACACAUGCAAGUCGAACGGAGUCGUUUUGGAAAUCUCUUCGGAGAUGGAAUUCUCGACUUAGUGGCGGACGGGUGAGUAACGCGUGAGCAAUCUGCGUUUAAGAGGGGGAUAACAGUCGGAAACGGCUGCUAAUACCGCAUAAAGCAUUAAAUUCGCAUGUUUUUGAUGCCAAAGGAGCAAUCCGCUUUUAGAUGAGCUCGCGUCUGAUUAGCUGGUUGGCGGGGUAACGGCCCACCAAGGCGACGAUCAGUAGCCGGACUGAGAGGUUGAACGGCCACAUUGGGACUGAGACACGGCCCAGACUCCUACGGGAGGCAGCAGUGGGGAAUAUUGCGCAAUGGGGGAAACCCUGACGCAGCAACGCCGCGUGAUUGAAGAAGGCCUUCGGGUUGUAAAGAUCUUUAAUCAGGGACGAAACAAAUGACGGU